AUUUAUAUAGUUUAAAAAAAACUCUACAUUUUCAAUGUAAUAUUAAAUAAUAUUUUAUAAAUU
This 63-nucleotide transfer RNA is filed under the name Curculionoidea sp. 19 KM-2017. RNAcentral's name for it is "tRNA-Glu". The record is from RNAcentral. Lineage: Eukaryota; Metazoa; Arthropoda; Insecta; Coleoptera.